UAUACCCUGCAUUGUUGGUGAUUUUUAGUUAGAGUAUUUAUUCCGAUGAAGUUCUUUAGGAGAAAAUACAUGCGAGUUAUGCAAAUUAGCAUAAACCAUGUUUCUCACUUGUAAAAAAGGGCUUUAAAUACCUAACGGACACGGCAAUUGCGGGGGUUUU
RNAcentral lists this non-coding RNA (160 nucleotides) under Elusimicrobiota bacterium. RNAcentral's name for it is "Elusimicrobia bacterium (gut metagenome) 6S RNA". It matches the Rfam family "6S / SsrS RNA". Rfam says of the family: E. coli 6S RNA was the first non coding RNA to be sequenced, but its function was unknown until recently. It consists of 184 nucleotides that fold into an extended hairpin structure with a large single-stranded internal bulge. The record is from RNAcentral. Lineage: Bacteria; Pseudomonadati; Elusimicrobiota.